RNAcentral lists this long non-coding RNA (473 nucleotides) under Mus pahari (shrew mouse). RNAcentral's name for it is "lncRNA (MGP_PahariEiJ_G0003917.1)". The record is from RNAcentral. Lineage: Eukaryota; Metazoa; Chordata; Mammalia; Rodentia; Muridae.
GGCUGGCGUGAGUACUCACGAACACUAUGUGGAGCUCGAGUGGACUGGUGUGCGGGCUCACCUAUGGCCUGUCGGAGGGGAUCCACGCAGAGGUUAGCAAGUCCUACUCCCAGCUGGCCAAGACCUCCUAGGUGAAGAAGAAAACAGGGUGAGACCAGACUAUAAAUCUAUCCUGAGCAUAACAGUGAAAUAAGACUCCUCCUGUCUGAAGGCUGGAACCAGGGGCUAGGAACACAUCUGGAGGAGGACAACUGUAAAAUUCAGGUAAUUAAGAGACAUCUCAACUGCAGACACACUAUGGGCAACUCAUCAACUACAUAGCAUAGACUCAUUCCCAUCCCCUGAAACCUGGAGGAAGACUCCCACUAUGCCAUUUAUGCCUGAACUUUCUUCAGACGCCCUUCUAUGCUGCUGUCUCCCUCUCUACAGUGUUAAUAAUUCUUCUGAUAAAUCUCCUACCCCAAAAGAACAAA